ACUCAAAUGAAUUGACGGGGACCCGCACAAGCGGUGGAGCGUGUUGUUUAAUUCGACGAUAAACGAAGAACCUUACCAAGGUUUGACAUCCUGCGAAUUUCUUCGAAAGAAGAAAGUGCUUUUAGAGCGCAGUGACAGGUGCUGCAUGGCCGUCAUCAGCUCGUGUCGUGAGAUGUUUGGUUAAGUCCAUCAACGAGCGCAACCCUUUUGUUCAGUUGUAUUUCUCUGAACAGACUGCCCUGGUAACAGGGAGGAAGGAGGGGAUGAUGUCAGGUCAGUAUUGCCCUUACACCUUGGGCUACAAACACGCUACAAUGGCCGGUACAAAGGGCUGCCAACCCGCAAGGGGGAGCAAAUCCCAUCAAAGCCGGUCUCAGUUCGGAUUGUAGGCUGAAACUCGCCUGCAUGAAGCCGGAAUCGCUAGUAAUGGCAGGUCAGCUAUACUGCCGUGAAUACGUUCCCGGGUCUUGCACACACCGCCCGU
This 484-nucleotide ribosomal RNA is filed under the name uncultured bacterium. RNAcentral describes it as "partial 16S ribosomal RNA". It matches the Rfam family "Bacterial small subunit ribosomal RNA", at positions 899 to 1397 of the family's 1533-position model. The record is from RNAcentral.